RNAcentral lists this ribosomal RNA (253 nucleotides) under uncultured bacterium. RNAcentral describes it as "partial 16S ribosomal RNA". It matches the Rfam family "Bacterial small subunit ribosomal RNA", at positions 524 to 776 of the family's 1533-position model. The record is from RNAcentral.
UACGUAGGGUGCAAGCGUUGUCCGGAAUUAUUGGGCGUAAAGAGCUCGUAGGCGGUCUGUCGCGUCGGCUGUGAAAUCCCGAGGCUCAACCUCGGGUCUGCAGUCGAUACGGGCAAACUAGAGUAUUGCAGGGGAGACUGGAAUUCCUGGUGUAGCGGUGAAAUGCGCAGAUAUCAGGAGGAACACCGGUGGCGAAGGCGGGUCUCUGGGCAAUAACUGACGCUGAGGAGCGAAGGCCAGGGGAGCAAACGGG